RNAcentral lists this ribosomal RNA (467 nucleotides) under uncultured bacterium. RNAcentral's name for it is "SSU rRNA". It matches the Rfam family "Bacterial small subunit ribosomal RNA", at positions 26 to 518 of the family's 1533-position model. The record is from RNAcentral.
AGGACGAACGCUGGCGGCGUGCUUAAUACAUGCAAGUCGAACGAGGUUCACGCAAGUGGGCCUAGUGGCGAACGGGUGAGUAACACGUGAGCAACCUGCCCCGAAGACCGGGAUAACAGUGGGAAACCGCUGCUAAUACCGGAUACCCCCACCGGAUCACAUGUUCUGGUGAGGAAAUGGAUUCCGCUUCGGGAGGGCUCGCGGCCUAUCAGCUUGUUGGUGGGGUAACGGCCUACCAAGGCUUCGACGGGUAGCUGGUCUGAGAGGACGAUCAGCCACACUGGGACUGAGACACGGCCCAGACUCCUACGGGAGGCAGCAGUAGGGAAUCUUGCGCAAUGGGCGAAAGCCUGACGCAGCAACGCCGCGUGAGGGAUGGAGGCCUUCGGGUUGUAAACCUCUUUCAGCAGGGACGAUUGUGACGGUACCUGCAGAAGAAGCCCCGGCAACUACGUGCCAGCAGCCGC